GGAGGAAUCUUCCACAAUGGGCGAAAGCCCGAUGGAGCAACGCCGCGUGGAGGACGACGGCCUUCGGGUUGUAAACUCCUUUCGGGGGGAUGAUGAGGACAGUACCCCCAGAAGCAGCCCCGGCUAACUCUGUGCCAGCAGCCGCGGUAAUACAGAGGGGGCAAGCGUUGUCCGGAUUUACUGGGCGUACAGCGCGCGCAGGCGGAGCUGGACGUGCCGUGUGACAGACCACCGCUCACCGGUGGAGGGCCACGGUACACGACAGCUCUGGAGGCAGGGAGAGGGAUGUGGAAUGCCCGGUGGAGCGGUGAAAUGCGUAGAGAUCGGGCGGAACACCAGCGGCGAAGGCGGCAUCCUGGCCCUGACCUGACGCUGAGGCGCGAGAGCGUGGGGAGCAAACUGGAUUAGAUACCCAGGUAGUCCACGCCGUAAACGAUGUGUACCCGGCGCUGGGGAGUGAUUGCGCUCCUCGGUGCCUGCGCUUACGCACUGAGUACACC
RNAcentral lists this ribosomal RNA (500 nucleotides) under uncultured bacterium. RNAcentral's name for it is "bacterial SSU rRNA". It matches the Rfam family "Bacterial small subunit ribosomal RNA", at positions 355 to 870 of the family's 1533-position model. The record is from RNAcentral.